This 253-nucleotide ribosomal RNA is filed under the name uncultured bacterium. Its description in RNAcentral is "partial 16S ribosomal RNA". It matches the Rfam family "Bacterial small subunit ribosomal RNA", at positions 524 to 776 of the family's 1533-position model. The record is from RNAcentral.
GACAGAGGAUGCAAGCGUUAUCCGGAUUGAUUGGGCGUAAAGCGUCUGUAGGCGGCUUUUCAAGUCCGCCGUCAAAUCCCAGGGCUCAACCCUGGACAGGCGGUGGAAACUGCCAAGCUGGAGUACGGUAGGGGCAGAGGGAAUUUCCGGUGGAGCGGUGAAAUGCGUAGAGAUCGGAAAGAACACCAACGGCGAAAGCACUCUGCUGGGCCGACACUGACACUGAGAGACGAAAGCUAGGGGAGCGAAUGGG